This 2857-nucleotide long non-coding RNA is filed under the name Vigna radiata. RNAcentral's name for it is "long non-coding RNA (VRAD_LNC000464)". The record is from RNAcentral. Lineage: Eukaryota; Viridiplantae; Streptophyta; Magnoliopsida; Fabales; Fabaceae.
CCAGAUCUUCUCUUCUUCUGAAUUAAAAAGGAAAAAAUUUCAUUCGACCACAAAACCUGUGCCGCUUCUAUAUUCUUUUCAUCAUAUUACUCAAAACAAAUAAAGAAAAAAAAAAAAAAUACUUGUGUUUUCUUCAAAGUUUAAGGUAUCGGAGCAUUUGCUACGAGUAUCAAACAAGCUAACAUAACCAUCUUCAGACACAACAAGAAUGUGUGCAAAUUUCGUAGUCUGCAAAACAAAAUAAAUAAGGAGCCCAGGUUAUAUUUGCAGUUUCAUCACAACGUUUGAUAUUGUAGAAAAUUGCAAACAAAUCCAGCCAAUGGAGCUGCAAGUGCAAUCACAGUGAUUUCUAAAACCUCAACAGCCCACUCAAUUCUAGUAAAUUGAGGACAAAUGAGGCCAGUGCAGCCAGGAUUACGGGUGGGCAAACUGCAUUGUUUGUACUGUACUAUAAACCAAUUACAAUUAACAAUAAAAUAGUUCAAAUAAGUUAGAUUGAACUAAAAAAUAGUUCAAAAAAACUGAACUGAACUAUUAUUUUAGUCUAGUUAACUGCAAUAUAGUUAAUUCACCUGGACAAAUUAGAGGCAAUUACAGACUUUUCUACUAAAGUGAGUUUCUUAAACUAAGACUGAAAUUCAUCAAGUUCAAGCUCAAGAAUAGCACACCCAAAUACUUCUAGAGAUACCCAGACUAGAAAAUCAUCAAGCCAUGAGGCAGCUGGCUUGGCAAUAUAACUUGUGUCUAGUACUAGGGUCGCUUUAGCAAUCUACAAGGUAAAGAGACGUCAUCCAUUAAAGGGAGUAUCCAAGUUAUCACAUGUAGGAAAAGAUCAACAAUUACUUUAGCACACAAGUAGAUUGAUAGGCAAUUGAUAAGAAAUUGUAAACCACAAUCCUUAAAACUGAUGGUUCGCAAUAGGUUUAACACUAUAAACAAUAACAUACUACUACUGCUAGCAUAGAUGGGAUCGACAAUACAAAAUUACACAUAGUUAGGAAUCCCAUCCAUUUUUAAGUGAAAUCAUGAACUAUGAUUAACCUUCGAAAUUGCAUAAAUGAGGCAGAGCAAAACACAAGUCAGAAAUAGUGAGUAUUCAUAUUAUAACUAAUAAAAUAUAAAAAGGGAAUAUCAACCACUGCAUGUAUUUUAUCUAAUAAUCAUUUGAAUUGGAGAUAACGGAAACAUGGGAGUGACAACACUCGUUCUCAUUAAUGGAAUAUCAACCACAGCAUAUGUUUUAAUCCAGACAUCAAUCCUGAUCAACAAGUUCUAUAAACACUUACGUAGCAUUCGGUGCACGAACAAAACAAAAAUGGAAUAUCCUAUUCUGUUCCGUGCACUUUUAAGCAGAACAAAAAUGAAAUAUUUUCUAACCUUAAGUUGUCCUAAAAUAUUUUUAAACGACCCAAAUAUGAAAUAAACUCAUAUUCUGUUAUGCACAUAUAUCAAAUGUUAUUAUGCUACCUUAUUUUGACUAAUAGAUUUACCAUUUACAACAUCUACAUUUGCUAAGACGGGUCAAACAUAAAAGAAAGAUUACUGGAAAAAGAGAGAACUAGCUAUGAGGGGAGGGAAAUCAGAAUUGGUCGAGAAGACCAACUUGUGUACCCUUGUAAAUUUUGAGUUCUCAGGACAAGGAAGAUGAAACGAGAAAGGGUAACCCCAUAGGCUCAGAGAUGGACAGAGUUUGACAUUUAUUAAAUGCCUCUUUUUUCUUGGGAAAAGGUAAAUUGAUAAUUAUGCUGACAAAACUUGAACAAAACAAUUGAUAUGGAUUCGUGCAACCAAAACUAUGAUUGUCCAACAGUGAUGUUAGACUCUAUUCAAAUUGCCUUUGAGUGGUAUUGAUAUAGAUUGAAUUCAACAGCAACAUGUUAGUUCAAAUACAGGAAACAACGAACAUAGUCACGCCUAAUAGGCAGUACUUAUAUGUGACAGUAAGAAAAACUACCAAAAUUCAACACACCAAGUACAUAUUCAGAAUUAUUUGACUAGAACUUGGCAUAAAUGUAAUUACUAUAAUCUACAACCAAAUAUAAACCAAUUCCCUUCAGAUAAUUCCUCGAAAGCAACACUGGUUAACAAUUAAAUGUAUUAACUAAAACAAACAUAUAAAUAAACCAGAGAUGAAAAACAAGUAUAUAACACUUCUAUGUUUAUAGGAGUUUCUGUUGCAUGCACACGACAACUUUUACAAAAGUAUUGUCACUGUCAUUACAAUGCUCUCACAACCCAAGCAGUAUUACCAUACACUUAUAAUUUUAAUUUUAAAGGCAGUCCAUUAUAAAAAUCAAGUAGAUCACUAGAAAUUAAGCUACAUAAAAGUCACCUGGAAAUUAAGAGAGUUGUUAGAUAUCAUUAAAAUUUCCCAUAUAUUGAUCUUGAGACUUCUUUUUUCUAUAAAAUAUUUCUGUAAAGCUUUUCAGUGCUAGGUAGGAAGAAUAAAUAUUUCUUUAAACUUUUGGAUUUAAACUGACUCCCAUGCGACUCAAACAAUUAAAUCAUAACAAGACAAUGUAGUAGUAGGUGAGGAUUAAUAUAUGGAUCAGACAAUGUUCUUUGGCUAGAUUAAGGACCUUGAAGGUUGUGAUUAGACUGGGCUUAUCAUGGUAACUCCACGUAAUAAUCCAUCCAAAUAGGGCAGUAAUCAUUCCUAAAUUAGAAAAACACACAACCAGUUGACCUUUCACAAAGAUAUUCAAAAUCAAAGCCUCCAGGCAUACAAAAAAGAAUUCCCCAGUUUCUUUGUCCACCUUCUUUGGAUUCAGGAUGAUCGAGUGUUCGCUUCUUAUCCUCUCCAAAAUUUGUGAGAGUAGACGAAGAAAAGAAGAAGGAAUGCAGCACAACCUCAAAC